AUUGAACGCUGGCGGCAGGCCUAACACAUGCAAGUCGAACGAUCCUUCGGGAUAGUGGCAGACGGGUGAGUAACGCGUGGGAACCUUCCCUGUGGUACGGAAUAGCUCCGGGAAACUGGAAUUAAUACCGUAUACGCCCUUCGGGGAAAGAUUUAUCGCCAUAGGAUGGGCCCGCGUCGGAUUAGCUUGUUGGUGAGGUAAUGGCUCACCAAGGCUACGAUCCGUAGCUGGUCUUAGAGGAUGAUCAGCCACACUGGGACUGAGACACGGCCCAGACUCCUACGGGAGGCAGCAGUGGGGAAUAUUGGACAAUGGGCGCAAGCCUGAUCCAGCCAUGCCGCGUGAGUGACGAAGGCCUUAGGGUUGUAAAGCUUCUUUUGGCGGGGACGAUAAUGACGGUACCCGCAGAAUAAGCCCCGGCUAACUUCGUG
RNAcentral lists this ribosomal RNA (431 nucleotides) under uncultured bacterium. RNAcentral's name for it is "bacterial SSU rRNA". It matches the Rfam family "Bacterial small subunit ribosomal RNA", at positions 30 to 507 of the family's 1533-position model. The record is from RNAcentral.